ACUUCUGAAGCCUGGAUUGGUGCAUUGUGGCCCUCACUACCUUGAUUUUCGGUGACAGAAGGUACCAGGUUUGAACGAGAGGAGUGAGCGGUGUUCCUUAUACAUCGAUGUAUAUGUGCAGGAGACCGGGAUUGUUGUUGGAUUUUCCCUGCAGAGAAGCGAGCUCAAGCAGCCUCCUGGCCAGUCCUCUCCUCCUCAAGCCAAGCUCCUGUCUCCUUGGAGACUAUCUCCUCAGAUCCUCUACACUGCUGCCCCUGGCUUGAACCCCCUUCUCCAAUUCUUGGUAAGAACCGACUAAGCACCUUCCAAGAAGCCUCUACUCGACUCUCCAAAUCGGCUAUGCAAAAACGAACCCCUGAGGACAUCAAAUAAAGCCCACAUGUACCAUCCACACC
This is a long non-coding RNA of Labrus mixtus (cuckoo wrasse), 395 nucleotides long. RefSeq lists it as uncharacterized. The record is from RefSeq and is a predicted model, not a curated record. Lineage: Eukaryota; Metazoa; Chordata; Actinopteri; Labriformes; Labridae. The transcript is spliced from 3 exons.